GCUCACUUUGGUAGAACAUAUACUAAACUUGGAAUGAUGCAGGGAAGAUAAGCAUGACCCUGACCCCUACACAAAGAUGAUAUGCAAAUAUCAUUAUUCAGCAUUUCAUAUUUUU
Molecule: small nuclear RNA, 115 nt
Filed under: Otolemur garnettii (small-eared galago)
Lineage: Eukaryota; Metazoa; Chordata; Mammalia; Primates; Galagidae
Source: RNAcentral